Carica papaya (papaya) is the source of this 741-nucleotide non-coding RNA. NCBI's taxonomy places the organism in Eukaryota, Viridiplantae, Streptophyta, Magnoliopsida, Brassicales, Caricaceae. The record is from RefSeq and is a predicted model, not a curated record.
AGAGAGGAAAGCUCAAAAUGACGGAAAAUCAAAUUGCGCAAAAGGAUCUCAUGCGCUCUUCAGAUGUCUUGAAUCGGAUCUCGAAGCAAUAUCUACUGAAGAGAAACCGAAAGAUCGCUAGGAAGAGCUUGGGCGAUGCAUUCACUUCGGUUUCUGAAGAUUUGUUACCGGAGACUUCGAAGGAAUCAACCGAUUCCUCUCCGACUUCUGAUGGUUCUGGUGCUAAUUCCCAACGGUGAAACAAUAGAAAGCUUUGUGCCGAAGCAUAAAUUUAGUCCAGAUAUCCUAGCUUCAGUACUGGAAACAUUUAUGCAGUACAAUGUCUCUCCAACCUCUGCAAUCACUGAUUCUGUGGGAAACAAUGGACUAUACAAGCUGCACAAUCACAAGAUCGCACCAAUGGAGGAAGACCUAGAUCUGCGUUACAAGAGAGAUUUGAUGGAUGAACUUAUUUCAGUUAAGGAUUGUGUUGUGCUUCUUUGCUUUUUGCUCUGGAUACUUGUGGUUUCAAUGGUUCUAUACUUCAGUUCUGGAGGCCAGACAUCUUAUAUUGGACCCCUUCCCACUUGAAUCGCUGCAUAGAGGUGGCGGAAUGUUAGCUUGUGAAACGUAAGGUUCGUUUCUCGGUUGUCUGCUUUGGCAUCAAUGUUCUUUUACCAGUGUAGUUCAUAUCUUCAAUCAACUUUUGCCAUGCUUAUGUUGAGAUUAUGUUGACAUGAGAAUUGUGUAGUUUUUUUUUAG